CCCUGUAAUUGGAAUGAGUACACUUUAAAUCCUUUAACAAGGACCUAUUGGAGGGCAAGUCUGGUGCCAGCAGCCGCGGUAACUCCAGCUCCAAUAGCGUAUAUUAAAGUUGUUGCGGUUAAAACGUUCGUAGUUGAACUUGUGCUUCAUACGGGUAGUACAACUAUAAUUGUAGUUUGUACUGUACCUUAUGUAUGUAAGCGUAUUACCGGUGGAGUUCUUAUAUAUGUUAAAUACUUGUAUUUUUCAUAUGUUCCUCCUAUAUAAACCUGCUUCAGUGCUCUUUACCGAGUGUUGUUGUGGGCCGGUACAAUUACUUUGAACAAAUUAGAGUGCUUAAAGCAGGCUCCAAAUGCCUGAAUAUUUUGUGCAUGGAAUAAUGAAAUAAGACCUCUGUUCUACUUUCAUUGGUUUUUAGAUCAAGAGGUAAUGAUUAAUAGAAGCAGUUUGGGGGCAUUAGUAUUACGACGCGAGAGGUGAAAUUCUUGGACCGUCGUAAGACUAACUUAAGCGAAAGCAUUUGCCAAAGAUGUUUUCAUUAAUCAAGAACGAAAGUUAGAGGUUCGAAGGCGAUCAGAUACCGCCCUAGUUCUAACCAUAAACGAUGCCAGCUAGCAAUUGGGUGUAGCUACUCUCAUGGCUCUCUCAGUCGCUUCCCGGGAAACCAAAGCUUUUGGGCUCCGGGGGAAGUAUGGUUGCAAAGCUGAAACUUAAAGGAAUUGACGGAAGGGCACCACCAGGAGU
This 744-nucleotide ribosomal RNA is filed under the name Lespesia aletiae. RNAcentral's name for it is "SSU rRNA". It matches the Rfam family "Eukaryotic small subunit ribosomal RNA", at positions 501 to 1177 of the family's 1831-position model. Lineage: Eukaryota; Metazoa; Arthropoda; Insecta; Diptera; Tachinidae. The record is from RNAcentral.